AUUGAACGCUGGCGGCAUGCCUUACACAUGCAAGUCGAACGGUAACGCGGGGCAACCUGGCGACGAGUGGCGAACGGGUGAGUAAUGCAUCGGAACGUGCCCAGUAGUGGGGGAUAGCCCGGCGAAAGCCGGAUUAAUACCGCAUACGACCUACGGGUGAAAGGGGGGGAUCGCAAGACCUCUCGCUAUUGGAGCGGCCGAUGUCAGAUUAGGUAGUUGGUGGGUAAAGGCCUGCCAAGCCUACGAUCUGUAGCUGGUCUGAGAGGACGACCAGCCACACUGGGACUGAGACACGGCCCAGACUCCUACGGGAGGCAGCAGUGGGAAUUUUGGACAAUGGGCGCAAGCCUGAUCCAGCCAUGCCGCGUGCGGGAAGAAGGCCUU
Molecule: ribosomal RNA, 384 nt
Filed under: uncultured bacterium
Lineage: Bacteria
Description: bacterial SSU rRNA
Rfam family: Bacterial small subunit ribosomal RNA
Source: RNAcentral